Molecule: non-coding RNA, 26 nt
Filed under: Mus musculus (house mouse)
Lineage: Eukaryota; Metazoa; Chordata; Mammalia; Rodentia; Muridae
Source: RNAcentral
UGAAUUUUCGGAGUAGUAGUGUUGAU